CCCUUAGACGUUCUGGGCCGCACGCGCGCUACACUGACCAGUGCAACAAGCAUCCGUCCUUGGCCGACAGGCCUGGGCAAUCUUUGAACGCUGGUCGUGAUGGGGAUAGACUUUUGCAAUUUUUGGUCUUCAACGAGGAAUUCCUAGUAAACGCAAGUCAUCAACUUGCAUUGAUUACGUCCCUGCCCUUUGUACACACCGCCCGUCGCACCUACCGAUUGAAUGGUCCGGUGAAGCCUCCGGAUUGGCGCGCACCUCGGUGCCGCCGAGAAGUUGGCUAAACCUUACCAUUUAGAGGAAGGUGAANUCGUANCA
RNAcentral lists this ribosomal RNA (315 nucleotides) under uncultured eukaryote. RNAcentral's name for it is "partial 18S ribosomal RNA". It matches the Rfam family "Eukaryotic small subunit ribosomal RNA", at positions 1470 to 1796 of the family's 1831-position model. The record is from RNAcentral.